RNAcentral lists this transfer RNA (71 nucleotides) under Ictidomys tridecemlineatus (thirteen-lined ground squirrel). Its description in RNAcentral is "Spermophilus tridecemlineatus (thirteen-lined ground squirrel) tRNA". It matches the Rfam family "tRNA". From Rfam's summary of the family: Transfer RNA (tRNA) molecules are approximately 80 nucleotides in length. Their secondary structure includes four short double-helical elements and three loops (D, anti-codon, and T loops). Lineage: Eukaryota; Metazoa; Chordata; Mammalia; Rodentia; Sciuridae. The record is from Rfam by way of RNAcentral.
GUGGCUGUGGCUCAGUGAUAGAGCGCUCGCCUAGCAUGUGUGAAGCACUGGGUUCGAUCCUCAGUACCACA